UAAAGUCGAACGAUGAGAGUGGGAGCUUGCUCCUGCUGGAUUAGUGGCGAACGGGUGAGUAACACGUGAGUAACCUGCCCUUGACUCAGGGAUAAGCGUUGGAAACGACGUCUAAUACCGGAUACGACCUUCGGAGGCAUCUCCUGGGGGUGGAAAGAAUUUCGGUCAAGGAUGGACUCGCGGCCUAUCAGCUAGUUGGUGAGGUAAUGGCUCACCAAGGCGACGACGGGUAGCCGGCCUGAGAGGGUGACCGGCCACACUGGGACUGAGACACGGCCCAGACUCCUACGGGGGGCAGCAGUGGGGAAUAUUGCACAAUGGGCGCAAGCCUGAUGCAGCAACGCCGCGUGAGGGACGACGGCCUUCGGGUUGUAAACCUCUUUUAGUAGGGAAGAAGCGAAAGUGACGGUACCUGCAGAAAAAGCACCGGCUAACUACGUGCCAGCAGCCGCGGUAAUACGUAGGGUGCAAGCGUUAUCCGGAAUUAUUGGGCGUAAAGAGCUCGUAGGCGGUUUGUCACGUCUGCUGUGAAAACUGGAGGCUCAACCUCCAGCCUGCAGUGGGUACGGGCAGACUAGAGUGCGGUAGGGGAGAUUGGAAUUCCUGGUGUAGCGGUGGAAUGCGCAGAUAUCAGGAGGAACACCGAUGGCGAAGGCAGAUCUCUGGGCCGUAACUGACGCAGAGGAGCGAAAAGCAUGGGGAGCGAACAGGAUUAGAUACCCUGGUAGUCCAUGCCGUAAACGUUGGGAACUAGAUGUAGGGACCAUUCCACGGUUUCUGUGUCGCAGCUAACGCAUUAAGUUCCCCCGCCCUGGGGGAGUACGGCCCGCAAGGGCUAAAAACUCAAAGGAAA
Molecule: ribosomal RNA, 853 nt
Filed under: uncultured bacterium
Lineage: Bacteria
Description: bacterial SSU rRNA
Rfam family: Bacterial small subunit ribosomal RNA
Source: RNAcentral